GUAGGUGGCAAGCGUUGUCCGGAAUUAUUGGGCGUAAAGCGCGCGCAGGCGGUUCUUUAAGUCUGAUGUGAAAGCCCACGGCUCAACCGUGGAGGGUCAUUGGAAACUGGAGAACUUGAGUAUAGAAGAGGAAAGCGGAAUUCCACGUGUAGCGGUGAAAUGCGUAGAGAUGUGGAGGAACACCAGUGGCGAAGGCGGCUUUCUGGUCUGUAACUGACGCUGAGGCGCGAAAGCGUGGGGAGCAAACAGGAUUAGAUACCCUGGUAGUCCACGCCGUAAACGAUGAGUGCUAAGUGUUAGGGGGGUUUUCCGCCCCCCUUAGUGCUGCAGCUAACGCAUUAAGCACUCCGCCUGGGAGUACGGCCGCAAGGCUG
This 374-nucleotide ribosomal RNA is filed under the name uncultured organism. Its description in RNAcentral is "partial 16S ribosomal RNA". It matches the Rfam family "Bacterial small subunit ribosomal RNA", at positions 527 to 896 of the family's 1533-position model. The record is from RNAcentral.